GUUGGGUAGGGGAGCGUUCUGUAAGCCUGCGAAGGUGGCCUGUGAGGGUUGCUGGAGGUAUCAGAAGUGCGAAUGCUGACAUAAGUAACGAUAAAGCGGGUGAAAAGCCCGCUCGCCGGAAGACCAAGGGUUCCUGUCCAACGUUAAUCGGGGCAGGGUGAGUCGACCCCUAAGGCGAGGCCGAAAGGCGUAGUCGAUGGGAAACGGGUUAAUAUUCCCGUACUUGGUGUUACUGCGAAGGGGGGACGGAGAAGGCUAUGUUGGCCGGGCGACGGUUGUCCCGGUUUAAGCGUGUAGGUGUGUGUUCCAGGUAAAUCCGGUUCACUUUAACACUGAGGCGUGACGACGAGGCACUACGGUGCUGAAGCAACAAAUGCCCUGCUUCCAGGAAAAGCCUCUAAGCAUCAGGUAACAUCAAAUCGUACCCCAAACCGACACAGGUGGUCAGGUAGAGAAUACCAAGGCGCUUGAGAGAACUCGGGUGAAGGAACUAGGCAAAAUGGUGCCGUAACUUCGGGAGAAGGCACGCUGACAUGUAGGUGAAGUGAUUUACUCAUGGAGCUGAAGUCAGUCGAAGAUACCAGCUGGCUGCAACUGUUUAUUAAAAACACAGCACUGUGCAAACACGAAAGUGGACGUAUACGGUGUGACGCCUGCCCGGUGCCGGAAGGUUAAUUGAUGGGGUCAGCGCAAGCGAAGCUCCUGAUCGAAGCCCCGGUAAACGGCGGCCGUAACUAUAACGGUCCUAAGGUAGCGAAAUUCCUUGUCGGGUAAGUUCCGACCUGCACGAAUGGCGUAAUGAUGGCCAGGCUGUCUCCACCCGAGACUCAGUGAAAUUGAACUCGCUGUGAAGAUGCAGUGUACCCGCGGCAAGACGGAAAGACCCCGUGAACCUUUACUAUAGCUUGACACUGAACAUUGAGCCUUGAUGUGUAGGAUAGGUGGGAGGCUUUGAAGUGUGGACGCCAGUCUGCAUGGAGCCGACCUUGAAAUACCACCCUUUAAUGUUUGAUGUUCUAACGUGGACCCGUAAUCCGGGUUGCGGACAGUGUCUGGUGGGUAGUUUGACUGGGGCGGUCUCCUCCUAAAGAGUAACGGAGGAGCACGAAGGUUGGCUAAUCCUGGUCGGACAUCAGGAGGUUAGUGCAAUGGCAUAAGCCAGCUUGACUGCGAGCGUGACGGCGCGAGCAGGUGCGAAAGCAGGUCAUAGUGAUCCGGUGGUUCUGAAUGGAAGGGCCAUCGCUCAACGGAUAAAAGGUACUCCGGGGAUAACAGGCUGAUACCGCCCAAGAGUUCAUAUCGACGGCGGUGUUUGGCACCUCGAUGUCGGCUCAUCACAUCCUGGGGCUGAAGUAGGUCCCAAGGGUAUGGCUGUUCGCCAUUUAAAGUGGUACGCGAGCUGGGUUUAGAACGUCGUGAGACAGUUCGGUCCCUAUCUGCCGUGGGCGCUGGAGAACUGAGGGGGGCUGCUCCUAGUACGAGAGGACCGGAGUGGACGCAUCACUGGUGUUCGGGUUGUCAUGCCAAUGGCACUGCCCGGUAGCUAAAUGCGGAAGAGAUAAGUGCUGAAAGCAUCUAAGCACGAAACUUGCCCCGAGAUGAGUUCUCCCUGAGACUUAAAGUCUCCUGAAGGAACGUUGAAGACGACGACGUUGAUAGGCCGGGUGUGUAAGCGCAGCGAUGCGUUGAGCUAACCGGUACUAAUGAACCGUGAGGCUUAACCUU
RNAcentral lists this ribosomal RNA (1725 nucleotides) under Salmonella enterica subsp. enterica serovar Indiana. RNAcentral's name for it is "partial 23S ribosomal RNA". It matches the Rfam family "Bacterial large subunit ribosomal RNA", at positions 1223 to 2925 of the family's 2925-position model. Lineage: Bacteria; Pseudomonadati; Pseudomonadota; Gammaproteobacteria; Enterobacterales; Enterobacteriaceae. The record is from RNAcentral.